GACGAACGCUGGCGGCGUGCCUAAUACAUGCAAGUUGAGCGCUGAAGGCUGGUACUUGUACCAACUGGAUGAGCAGCGAACGGGUGAGUAACGCGUGGGGAAUCUGCCUUUGAGCGGGGGACAACAUUUGGAAACGAAUGCUAAUACCGCAUAAAAUCUUUAAACACAAGUUUUAAGUUUGAAAGAUGCAAUUGCAUCACUCAAAGAUGAUCCCGCGUUGUAUUAGCUAGUUGGUGAGGUAAAGGCUCAACAAGGCGAUGAUACAUAGCCGACCUGAGAGGGGGAUCGGCCACAUUGGGACUGAGACACGGCCCAAACUCCUACGGGAGGCAGCAGUAGGGAAUCUUCGGCAAUGGACGAAAGUCUGAACGAGCAACGCCGCGUGAGUGAAGAAGGUUUUCGGAUCGUAAAACUCUGUUGGUAGAGAAGAACGUUGGUGAGAGUGGAAAGCUCAUCAAGUGACGGUAACUACCCAGAAAGGGACGGCUAACUACGUG
Molecule: ribosomal RNA, 497 nt
Filed under: uncultured bacterium
Lineage: Bacteria
Description: partial 16S ribosomal RNA
Rfam family: Bacterial small subunit ribosomal RNA
Source: RNAcentral